Molecule: ribosomal RNA, 357 nt
Filed under: Methanosarcina sp. enrichment culture clone BER3_CD
Lineage: Archaea; Methanobacteriati; Methanobacteriota; Methanomicrobia; Methanosarcinales; Methanosarcinaceae
Description: partial 16S ribosomal RNA
Rfam family: Archaeal small subunit ribosomal RNA
Source: RNAcentral
UGASGGACRAAAGCUGGGGGCACGAACCGGAUUAGAUACCCGGGUAGUCCCAGCCGUAAACGAUGCUCCCUASGUGUCGUGCAUGUMRCGACCGUGUCUGGUGCCGCAKGGAAGCCCUGAAGCGAGCCACCUGGGAAGUACGGCCGCRAGGSUGAAACUUAAAGGAAUUGGUGGGGGAGCACAACAACGGGUGGAACCUGCKGUUUAAUUGSACUCAACGCCGGACAACUCACCGGGGACGACAGCAAAAUGUAGGCCAGGCUGAAGACCUUGCCUGAAUCUUUGAGAGGAGGUGCAUGGCCGUCGCCAGUUCGUACUGUGAAGCAUCCUGUUAAGUCAGGCAACGACGAGACCCAA